RNAcentral lists this ribosomal RNA (253 nucleotides) under uncultured bacterium. RNAcentral describes it as "partial 16S ribosomal RNA". It matches the Rfam family "Bacterial small subunit ribosomal RNA", at positions 524 to 776 of the family's 1533-position model. The record is from RNAcentral.
UACGGAGGGUGCAAGCGUUAUCCGGAUUCACUGGGUUUAAAGGGUGCGUAGGUGGGUUUGUAAGUCAGUGGUGAAAUCUCCGAGCUUAACUCGGAAACUGCCAUUGAUACUAUAGAUCUUGAAUCAUCUGGAGGUAAGCGGAAUAUGUCAUGUAGCGGUAAAAUGCUUAGAUAUGACAUAGAACACCAAUUGCGAAGGCAGCUUACUACGGGUGUAUUGACACUGAUGCACGAAAGUGUGGGUAUCAAACAGG